UACGGAGGGAGCUAGCGUUGUUCGGAAUUACUGGGCGUAAAGCGCACGUAGGCGGCUUUGCAAGUCAGAGGUGAAAGCCUGGAGCUCAACUCCAGAAUUGCCUUUGAGACUGCAUCGCUUGAACACGGGAGAGGUGAGUGGAAUUCCGAGUGUAGAGGUGAAAUACGUAGAUAUUCGGAAGAACACCAGUGGCGAAGGCGGCUCACUGGACCGUUGUUGACGCUGAGGUGCGAAAGCGUGGGGAGCGAACAGG
RNAcentral lists this ribosomal RNA (253 nucleotides) under uncultured bacterium. Its description in RNAcentral is "partial 16S ribosomal RNA". It matches the Rfam family "Bacterial small subunit ribosomal RNA", at positions 524 to 776 of the family's 1533-position model. The record is from RNAcentral.